CCUACGGGAGGCAGCAGUAGGGAAUCUUCCGCAAUGGACGAAAGUCUGACGGAGCAACGCCGCGUGAACGAUGAAGGCCUUCGGGUCGUAAAGUUCUGUUGUUAGGGAAGAACAAGUGCUAGUUGAAUAAGCUGGCACCUUGACGGUACCUAACCAGAAAGCCACGGCUAACUACGUGCCAGCAGCCGCGGUAAUACGUAGGUGGCAAGCGUUGUCCGGAAUUAUUGGGCGUAAAGCGCGCGCAGGCGGUUUCUUAAGUCUGACGUGAAAGCCCCCGGCUCAACCGGGGAGGGUCAUUGGAAACUGGGAAACUUGAGUGCAGAAGAGGAAAGUGGAAUUCCAAGUGUAGCGGUGAAAUGCGUAGAGAUUUGGAGGAACACCAGUGGCGAAGGCGACUUUCUGGUCUGUAACUGACGCUGAGGCGCGAAAGCGUGGGGAGCAAACAGGAUUAGAUACCCUGGUAGUCCACGCUGUAAAACGAUGAGUGACUAAGUGUUAGACGGGUUUCCGCCUUUAGUGCUGAAGUUAACGCAUUAAGCACUCCGCCGUGGGGAGUCGGUCGCAAGACUGAAACUCAAAUGAAAUUGACCGGUUNUUGAGACGNGCCGACGGACGACGACGAGGGAGGAGG
Molecule: ribosomal RNA, 631 nt
Filed under: uncultured bacterium
Lineage: Bacteria
Description: bacterial SSU rRNA
Rfam family: Bacterial small subunit ribosomal RNA
Source: RNAcentral